Molecule: long non-coding RNA, 380 nt
Organism: Triticum dicoccoides
Lineage: Eukaryota; Viridiplantae; Streptophyta; Magnoliopsida; Poales; Poaceae
Exons: 3
Source: RefSeq, a predicted model, not a curated record
GCGGCGGCUGCUUCUAGGUCGCGCGCCAGAUUUGCCACCCCGUAGAAAUCAACUAGUGGAUUAUAUCUUGUGUGUUGACGGGAUGACAGAAUCAGGUGGGGCGCCGCCGGCGAGUCUUAAUCGAUCUACCACAGGCGAUGAUGGGGGAGUAGCUAGCCAGAAGGCAGAUCCAGCCGACCGUGGAGCUACUCUGGUUCUUUCCAAAAAGAAAUUACCAGCAGUUCGAAAACGGAAAGGGAUGAACCAAAAAGAAACACCACAGAGUUUGCGUGAGCCUGGGAAAGAAAGUAUUGAACCGAAGGAAUCAUCUGGGGUUUGCGAUGUGAUGCUUGAAUUUGACCAAUUUGUGCAGUACCAUGAGAUGAAGAAGAAAACAGAGG